Molecule: ribosomal RNA, 937 nt
Filed under: Triticum aestivum (bread wheat)
Lineage: Eukaryota; Viridiplantae; Streptophyta; Magnoliopsida; Poales; Poaceae
Description: partial small subunit ribosomal RNA
Source: RNAcentral
CGCUGGAGCUGAUCAAGAACGCGCAGGUGCAGGCCAUCAUCGGGCCCAAGACGUCGGCGGAGGCAGAGUUCGUCGCCCACCUCGGCAGCCGCGCCCACGUCCCCGUCCUCUCCUACUCCGCCACCUCCCCGUCCCUCUCGCCGGCGCAGACGCCCUACUUCGUGCGCACCGCCGCCAACGACUCCUUCCAGGCCACCCCCGUCGCCUCCGUCCUCGCAAGCUUCAGAUGGCGCGCGGUGGCCGUCCUGCACGAGGACUCGCCCUUCGGCGCCGGCAUCCUCCCAGCGCUCGCCGACGCACUCCAGAGCGUCGAUAGCGCGGCGAUCGUGGACCGCGUGGCCGUGCCGAGCAGCGCGGACGAAGAUGCGCUUGAUGCGCUCCUUUACCGCCUCAAGGCGAUGCCGACGCGUGUGUUCGUCGUGCACGCCUCGCACAGCCUCGCCGCGCAGCUCUUCCGGCGAGCCAGCAAGGCCCAGAUGAUGUCCGACGGCUACGCCUGGGUCGCCACCGACGGCGUAGGCAACUUCGUGGACAGGUUCGACCCCGAGGACCUCGACUCCAUGCAGGGCGUCGUCAGCCUCCGUCCUCACGUGGCGUACACGAACCAAGUCAAGAACUUCUCUGCGAGGUUCAGGGCGAGGUUCCGGAGGGAGAACCCGGCCUCCAACGAUGACGUCCUCAACGACGCCACUGUGACGGGGCUCUGGUCGUACGACACGGCGUGGGCGAUCGCCGCGGCAGCCGAGGCGGCCAGCGUCCCCGGCCCAGCAUUUCGGACACCGCAGAAUAGCACGGAACGUACAGACCUAGACCAGCUCGGCGUGUCGACCACCGGAGAGGCGCUUCUUAGCGCGAUUCUCAACACGACGUUCGACGGGAUGGCAGGCAGGUUCAAGCUGGUGGACGGGCAGCUGCGGGUCGCGGCGUACGAGGUCGU